Molecule: ribosomal RNA, 1225 nt
Filed under: Rothia kristinae
Lineage: Bacteria; Bacillati; Actinomycetota; Actinomycetes; Micrococcales; Micrococcaceae
Description: bacterial SSU rRNA
Rfam family: Bacterial small subunit ribosomal RNA
Source: RNAcentral
UGGGAUAAGCCUGGGAAACUGGGUCUAAUACCGGAUGCGACUACUGCCCGCAUGGGCUGGUGGUGGAAAGGGUUAUGUACUGGUCUUAGAUGGGCUCACGGCCUAUCAGCUGGUUGGUGGGGUAAUGGCCUACCAAGGCGACGACGGGUAGCCGGCCUGAGAGGGUGACCGGCCACACUGGGACUGAGACACGGCCCAGACUCCUACGGGAGGCAGCAGUGGGGAAUAUUGCACAAUGGGCGCAAGCCUGAUGCAGCGACGCCGCGUGAGGGAUGACGGCCUUCGGGUUGUAAACCUCUUUCAGCAGGGAAGAAGCGGAAGUGACGGUACCUGCAGAAGAAGCGCCGGCUAACUACGUGCCAGCAGCCGCGGUAAUACGUAGGGCGCAAGCGUUGUCCGGAAUUAUUGGGCGUAAAGAGCUCGUAGGCGGCUUGUCGCGUCUGCUGUGAAAGCCCGGGGCUUAACUCCGGGUGUGCAGUGGGUACGGGCAGGCUAGAGUGCAGUAGGGGUAACUGGAAUUCCUGGUGUAGCGGUGAAAUGCGCAGAUAUCAGGAGGAACACCGAUGGCGAAGGCAGGUUACUGGGCUGUUACUGACGCUGAGGAGCGAAAGCAUGGGGAGCGAACAGGAUUAGAUACCCUGGUAGUCCAUGCCGUAAACGUUGGGCACUAGGUGUGGGGGACAUUCCACGUUUUCCGCGCCGUAGCUAACGCAUUAAGUGCCCCGCCUGGGGAGUACGGCCGCAAGGCUAAAACUCAAAGGAAUUGACGGGGGCCCGCACAAGCGGCGGAGCAUGCGGAUUAAUUCGAUGCAACGCGAAGAACCUUACCAAGGCUUGACAUACACCGGAUCGUUCCAGAGAUGGUUCUUCCCUUUUGGGCUGGUGUACAGGUGGUGCAUGGUUGUCGUCAGCUCGUGUCGUGAGAUGUUGGGUUAAGUCCCGCAACGAGCGCAACCCUCGUUCUAUGUUGCCAGCACGUGAUGGUGGGGACUCAUAGGAGACUGCCGGGGUCAACUCGGAGGAAGGUGGGGAUGACGUCAAAUCAUCAUGCCCCUUAUGUCUUGGGCUUCACGCAUGCUACAAUGGCCGGUACAAUGGGUUGCGAUACUGUGAGGUGGAGCUAAUCCCAAAAAGCCGGUCUCAGUUCGGAUUGGGGUCUGCAACUCGACCCCAUGAAGUCGGAGUCGCUAGUAAUCGCAGAUCAGCAACGCUGCGGUGAAUACGU